AGAAAAAGAACAACAACAACAACAACAACAACAACAACGGCGGACAGGUGGAGAGGGAAAGGCCAAAACGUCAAGCUACAGGCAGUCAAAACAAGUGAUCACAGGGAUGUGACUGUCGCGGAUGGAGUCUUAUGACGAUGCACAAAAAGAUAACCAAGAAGCUCUCCUUGGACCCUGGUGGGAUUAGAUAUCUCCUGCCAUUUGUCGCCUAGUCUUCCACCAACUUGUGAGUACUAACAUGGUGCAUGUGUUUAGUGUUUAAGGCACAGGUUUAUAUUUAUGUGUGGAUGGUAUGGCUAUUUUUCUACCAACGUUCAAGAAACCUAAAAUAUCCCCACCAACAUUUUAGCUUGUAAUCAAAAAGGCUGCAACAGAUUGCAUUAUGGUUUGAUCACAUUUCUACUUGUGAAUUAGAACAGGCUUUUUAUAGGCACCUUUCAGCUCCAAGGGCUAAGGCUGAAUCCGAAUCCUCCCCUUAUCCCUUACCCUUUGUCUUAUCCCUCAUUGUGCGCGUUCACGUGAGAGCUAGUGCUGUCCGAAUCCUCGUCUUGAUCGAGUGUUAGGGCUUAGGGGGAGGGUCAGAUGUCCCUUCCGACCAAGUAAGGACGCGAGCUGACUUCGCCAGCAGGGGUACAUUGCAUACAUUGCACAACAAGGAACAUGGCUGCCAGGUCGACCAGAGAGACCCAUAAAUUGUCACACAGGGACGCCAGAGGAAACCCGGCAGCUAAUCCACUUUAGGUCUGAAAAGGAACCACUGUUUCUGAAAUCCAAAUAUGCUGCAAAGCAACUUUGGGAGACGCUGGUGAAAGAAAUUGGGUUGGAGGGGAAACUGACUGGCCAACAGGCAGCAAAGAAGUGGGAGAAUCUUAAACAGAAAUACAAGGAACUAAGAACUACAAGAACAGGGUCAGGUACAGACAGGGGGGAAGUGACCGCUGCAACCUGGCAAUUCUACGAGGACAUGCACGAGGUGUUGGGUGCCAGGCCCUCAGUCGACCCUCCUGUGUUAGUGGCAUCCUGUUCUGUGGAUGUAGAUCCCGCGGCAAUCCUCAUGGAGCCCUCAUCCCCAGCUAGCAGCUCCAGCAGUAGCAGCUCUGCAGUCAGCAGGUCACCACUGCCAAGUCCCUCGCCCGCAAAGAAAAGAAAAAGAAAUGCCAUCCUGGAUUUCCUCACUGAGGAGUUCAACAGGGAGCAGUGGCGCCACGAGGAGAGCGAGGCCGAGAACAAGGCAAACACACGGCAGUUGUUGUCCCUCCUUGAGAGGAUUGUUGAGAAAUUGUAGUGGUAGUUUUUUUUUUUUUUUAUGGCUGCCAUUUGCAACUUUUUUUG
RNA transcript from Perca fluviatilis (European perch), 1332 nucleotides. RefSeq lists it as uncharacterized. The transcript has 6 exons. The record is from RefSeq and is a predicted model, not a curated record. NCBI's taxonomy places the organism in Eukaryota, Metazoa, Chordata, Actinopteri, Perciformes, Percidae.